CGCUUUUAGGUUUUCUGGUUUUUCCCUUUCCGGCCUCCUCCUCUUUUCACCCGCAGUUUCUUUUCAAUUCUUCCUCUAUGAUUUCUUUUUCUGUUUGCGCUGCAAUCUGCCGUCCAUGGAGAAGCAUUACAGAUAGGGGUUUAUCAUUUCGCAAGUCGCAACAGGCAUGACAAAACUCGAGUUUCUCACUAAUGGUCACGGAAGAUCACUCUGUAGAUGAAGGUUAUUCUGCAGUAAUCUGCCUGAGCUUCCUCUUUCUUCGUUCAGACUAGUCCAGUAACCAUGGAGAACCGAGGCUUGGAUUGAUCAAUCAUCACCUCAUGUUGAAGGUAAGAAUGAUUACAACAACUACGAAGUUAUUUGGCCCAAGGUUCGUGAUGUUAUUACGAAUCCAGUUAAGAGCAAUCUAACUGAGAUGUCAACCACGCACCAACAUGUUACAUGCCGGUACUGUUAUGCUUGAUGUACCUCCUGCUUAGGGAACUGAAAGUCUUACUGGACAAAAGUUCGAUCUCCUUGGAUGUUUAAAUUUUAGUGUCUUGAAUGAUCAAAAUUAAGUCUCUUUGUGACCAAGAGAUUUUUAUUUGAGAAAGAUACUGAAUCUAACCACAAUAAUGAGUUACUCUUUGCAGAAGUCAGAUUAAAGCAAAUUUUCUUGAAUUUAUUUGCUUUCCUAAA
Molecule: long non-coding RNA, 678 nt
Organism: Papaver somniferum (opium poppy)
Lineage: Eukaryota; Viridiplantae; Streptophyta; Magnoliopsida; Ranunculales; Papaveraceae
Exons: 5
Source: RefSeq, a predicted model, not a curated record